This is a small nucleolar RNA of Chlorocebus sabaeus (green monkey), 191 nucleotides long. Its record names the gene U3. It matches the Rfam family "Small nucleolar RNA U3". Rfam says of the family: Small nucleolar RNAs (snoRNAs) are involved in the processing and modification of rRNA in the nucleolus. There are two main classes of snoRNAs: the box C/D class, and the box H/ACA class. The record is from Ensembl. NCBI's taxonomy places the organism in Eukaryota, Metazoa, Chordata, Mammalia, Primates, Cercopithecidae.
AAGACUGUCCUCUCAGAGAUGAUUUCUAUAGUUCAUUACUGGAGAAGUUUCUCUGUGUAGAGAGCAUCAGAAACCACAAGAAAGAAGCGCAGCGGUCUCUCCUGAGUGUGAAGCUGGCUCUUGGUGUUGUUGCUUCUUGGUUCUUCUCUUCCUUUGGGAGAGGAAGAGGGAGAGGAUGCAGUCUUAGUAGU